CCAUCCGCCAGGGACUGGUCUGAGAUGCCCCUGGACGCGCUCGCCUGCGUCUUCGCCAAGCUCGGCGCCGUCGAGCUCCUCAUGGGCGCGGGCCUGGUGUGCUGCUCCUGGCUCCACGCCUCCAAGUCCCCAGAGCUGUGGCGGGCCGUGGUGAUGUCGCACCCGCCCGACACUCCGGAGUUCCUAACAGAUGACUCCUUGUGUGCCAUGGCCAAGGCGGCUGUCGACCGCUCCGGUGGGCAGCUACAGAAGUUUGUGGCGAGGGAUUUUGGGACCAAUGAGCUCCUGGAAUAA
RNAcentral lists this ribosomal RNA (294 nucleotides) under Triticum aestivum (bread wheat). Its description in RNAcentral is "partial small subunit ribosomal RNA". The record is from RNAcentral. Lineage: Eukaryota; Viridiplantae; Streptophyta; Magnoliopsida; Poales; Poaceae.